GAUGAACGCUGGCGGCGUGCCUAAUACAUGCAAGUAGAACGCUGAAGGAAGGAGCUUGCUCUUUCCGGAUGAGUUGCGAACGGGUGAGUAACGCGUAGGUAACCUGCCUGGUAGCGGGGGAUAACUAUUGGAAACGAUAGCUAAUACCGCAUAACAGUAGUUGUUGCAUUAUAUCUACUUAAAAGGUGCAAUUGCACCACUACCAGAUUGACCUGCGUUGUAUUAGCUAGUUGUUGAGGUAACGGCUCACCAAGGCGACGAUACAUAGCCGACCUGAGAGGGUGAUCGGCCACACUGGGACUGAGACACGGCCCAGACUCCUACGGGAGGCAGCAGUAGGGAAUCUUCGGCAAUGGACGGAAGUCUGACCGAGCAACGCCGAGUGAGUGAAGAAGGUUUUCGGAUCGUAAAGCUCUGUUGUAAGAGAAGAACGAGUGUGAGAGUGGAAAGUUCACACUGUGACGGUAUCUUACCAGAAAGGGACGGCUAACUACGUG
This 497-nucleotide ribosomal RNA is filed under the name uncultured bacterium. Its description in RNAcentral is "partial 16S ribosomal RNA". It matches the Rfam family "Bacterial small subunit ribosomal RNA", at positions 28 to 507 of the family's 1533-position model. The record is from RNAcentral.